AGAACUCACUCCUGAGUGCAAAGGCAAUGUCAGGCACGCUGGUAAAGGACCACUAGAAUCCAGCAGCCCAGACCCCUUUCUUUGUGGUCAAGAAGGGCAGGAAAACAGGUGCAGGACUGCUACAUCGGGAAAGGAAGAAAAUCCUACUGCCUUUCUGGAGAGACUAAGGGAGGCAUUGAGGAAGCAUACCUCUCUGUCAUCUGGAUCUAUUGAAGGCCAACUAAUCUUAAAGGGCAUUGGAACCUUGAAAAGACAAAUAAGCUUUGCCUUCCUUCCUAGUUCAUUAUGAACAAACUAUCAACAAAAACCAUCCUGUUCAGCCAGUUUCUCAGAGCAACCAUGGGAGUCACAGCAGUUCUUCUGUCACCAUGAAGGGGAUCUGCUCAGACGCCAUCCUUGUUCUAGCUACCUCCAUGUGGAUGGCCUUUGCAAUUGACUUCCCCCUUCCUAUGGCCUCUGAAAGAGGUCAGCUAGACAAAACAAUAGUUGAAUGCCUCAAGAAUGUAAAUAAGUGCUGGUUUUUAUCCUACAUCAAGCCCAGUGAACCUAUUUGUGGCAGUGACCAGGUUACCUACAGUAGUGACUGCCAUCUGUGCUCCAAAAUUCUAUUUGAAGGGCUUAACAUAACUAAACUGUAUGAUGGACAAUGUGUUAUAGUCCAAAGCAAGAACUCAGCUGAAGCCAUAGAGAUCAUUAUUGCAUUAUGAGGCGUGGCAACAAGACUGGGAGAAAUCAAUGUAGAAGAGAAAAUAAAGACAGUAGGAGGUAAAGCAGGAAAACUCUUGAACGUACGACAAAGAAUUAUAAAACCUACUGAAUCUCCAGAUUGCCAAGUGAAACACAAUGGUUGCCUCUUCAAAUAUAUCCCCUUUAAUUACUAAUGGUUGGAUCAAACUCGUUGAUUUAUGUCUUCAAUAAAUGAUUCUUAGCAGAAAA
RNA transcript from Homo sapiens (human), 936 nucleotides. It is a transcript of the gene named serine peptidase inhibitor Kazal type 8 (putative), with no coding region annotated. The transcript has 9 exons. Lineage: Eukaryota; Metazoa; Chordata; Mammalia; Primates; Hominidae. The record is from RefSeq and is marked validated.